This 641-nucleotide long non-coding RNA is filed under the name Setaria italica (foxtail millet). RNAcentral's name for it is "long non-coding RNA (SITA_LNC007283)". The record is from RNAcentral. Lineage: Eukaryota; Viridiplantae; Streptophyta; Magnoliopsida; Poales; Poaceae.
GUAUUGUUCCUUAACUGAUCUGCAUUGAGGACGUCAUGUUUUUUUUUCUUCUUUGUGCGACUGCAAAGCUCGUGUUCGUUAUGUAACUGAAAGUUCAUGACGGUGGCCUGUCAGGUACGGUGUGGGCAAGAGGAUCAGGCUGCCCUACACCCGAAAGAUCGUCGACGCCAUCCACUCCGGCGAGCUCCUCACCGCCAACUACAAGAAGACCGAGGUCUUUGGGCUGGAGAUCCCCACCGAGAUCGACGGCGUGCCAUCGGAAAUCCUCGACCCGAUCAACACCGUAAGCCCUGUCACUAACCAGUUCGCGCCAUCAGUCAUCUUGAACUGCACAGCUUGUUCAGAACAGAACACUGACCAAUUUUUUGAACUUGACGAAUGGUAUGCGCAGUGGACGGACAAGGCCGCGUACAAGGAGACGCUCCUGAGGCUUGCCGGGCUCUUCAAGAACAACUUCGAGGUGUUCGCCAGCUACAAGAUCGGGGACGACAGCAGCCUGACCGACGAGAUCCUCGCCGCAGGCCCCAAUUUCUGAUGAUCCGGACCGGCGAAGCGAUGGACUGGGUUCAGAAUAAAACCGUGGUGCGUGCGUGCGUGCGUUACAAUGAUGAUGACGAAAAAAAGUGUUGGAUUGAUGUGCC